This 682-nucleotide long non-coding RNA is filed under the name Brassica napus (rape). Its description in RNAcentral is "long non-coding RNA (BNAP_LNC007373)". The record is from RNAcentral. Lineage: Eukaryota; Viridiplantae; Streptophyta; Magnoliopsida; Brassicales; Brassicaceae.
AAAUAUCAUUAGUUCUUGAUCUAUACAUAUUUUGACCAAUAAUAAAACAAAAGAUGCCAUGAUUAUAAAACAUAAAAUUUAUGAAUUUAUAUUUAAAUAAACUUCAUCUAGUUUUAAAUAACAUAAAAUUUCAAAAACAUCAUUUAAAAAAAAAUGGAUAUAGUAAUUAAUUGAAAUCAAAUUUGUUUACAAGUCUAUUUUUAUUAUUGUAAAGAAUAAAUAUAAACAAAAAAUUAUAUGUACGUAAAAUAAAAAGUUGAUAAAUAAUUAUUAGUUUUUGGAAAUAAUUAUUUUAAAAGCAUUUGAAGUCUUAGCCAUUUUAGUUUUCAUGUAUAUAUGGUUGCGAAUUUUGUUUUAUAUUAAACUCCAAAUAUUUUAGAAUUUACAUGGCUUUUCCCUUGACUAAUUUAGUAAGAAAACAAGAUAGUAAGAUACAAUAAUUACAAAUGAGAAACAAGUGUAUAUAUUGUAUAUAACUAAUGGUGUUGGAAUCAAUUUUUGAAUGCAUGUAUACACAUAUAAGUAUCAUACAUAAUUUAGAACAUCAUGAUCCUCUAGAGCGAAAUAACAUCGCAAUUUCUUCUCCUUAAUAUCAGCACACCUUUUCUAUAAUAGAGGAAAAUAAUCAUAUGAAGUAUUACCCCUUAUGACUUACCUGUGAAGGUUGGGGAUGUCCUUUUCU